CCCCUCUCAAGAUCGCACCUGGAGAGUUUCCAGGACUCUACCGGCCUCGGCUACGGGAGGGAGAGUCAAGCGGAGGCCUGUCCGUUCCAUUCCUAGCUUGACCGGUGGCUACCGAGUGGAAAGCCAUCCACUACAAGU
This 138-nucleotide small nucleolar RNA is filed under the name Ornithorhynchus anatinus (platypus). Lineage: Eukaryota; Metazoa; Chordata; Mammalia; Monotremata; Ornithorhynchidae. The record is from RNAcentral.